CAAGAUUCAAUGAUCUCUCCGUUUCCUCCCUGCCUCUAACAUUUUGUUGACAAAGUGCUCUCCGCACCCUCAGCCCUGGAGGGAGGGAGAGACACUCCAAUGUGGGGAGACUGCUCUUGGGGCUGCCAACGUUUACAGUGUGUUAGCGCCAAGACUCCUUGGGGCUGGAUCCUCUGAGACCGAUGACCGCCUCCAGAAGAGGAGCGUUAGCGACCAAGCUCAGGCUGCCUUUCUUCAUCCCUCGCCACCGAUGCUUCUCCUAACGGAGCUGCCCAUCCCAAGCACAGCAUGUCAGCCUCAGAUCAGCGAUUUUGCUGCAGCCAACAUGUAACCCAGUUCGAGAAUGAUGCUAAAGAGAACUGAAUGCUAACCACUCUGUGUGAGCCAGGCUCAGAAUUUCAAGAGACACAAAGUCCUGGCUCUCACUUGAUCAAACUACUGAGGUUAUUGAAUAAUACAC
RNAcentral lists this long non-coding RNA (460 nucleotides) under Phascolarctos cinereus (koala). Its description in RNAcentral is "lncRNA (ENSPCIG00000021947.2)". Lineage: Eukaryota; Metazoa; Chordata; Mammalia; Diprotodontia; Phascolarctidae. The record is from RNAcentral.